AUACCAGACUCCUACGGGAGGCAGCAGUGGGGAAUAUUGCACAAUGGGGGAAACCCUGAUGCAGCGACGCCGCGUGAGCGAUGAAGUAUUUCGGUAUGUAAAGCUCUAUCAGCAGGGAAGAAAAUGACGGUACCUGACUAAGAAGCCCCGGCUAACUACGUGCCAGCAGCCGCGGUAAUACGUAGGGGGCAAGCGUUAUCCGGAUUUACUGGGUGUAAAGGGAGCGUAGACGGCGGUGCAAGCCAGAUGUGAAAGCCCGGGGCUCAACCCCGGGACUGCAUUUGGAACUGUGCUGCUAGAGUGUCGGAGAGGCAGGCGGAAUUCCUAGUGUAGCGGUGAAAUGCGUAGAUAUUAGGAGGAACACCAGUGGCGAAGGCGGCCUGCUGGACGAUGACUGACGUUGAGGCUCGAAAGCGUGGGGAGCAAACAGGAUUAGAUACCCUCGUA
Molecule: ribosomal RNA, 447 nt
Filed under: uncultured bacterium
Lineage: Bacteria
Description: bacterial SSU rRNA
Rfam family: Bacterial small subunit ribosomal RNA
Source: RNAcentral